Molecule: ribosomal RNA, 556 nt
Filed under: uncultured fungus
Lineage: Eukaryota; Fungi
Description: eukaryotic LSU rRNA
Rfam family: 5.8S ribosomal RNA (bases 152-305)
Source: RNAcentral
AGUGAAUAUUAGGACAUCGCUUCGGCGAGUUCGACCCUCCACUUUUCAACUCUGUGCAUUUAUUGGCGGAAUCGAGCGAGCAAUCGUGAAGUUCUGCGUCUCAUUUUUAAACACUAGUCAAAGUAUGUAACGAAAUAUCGAAAUAAAAAAAAACUUUCAACAACGGAUCUCUUGGCUCUCGCAUCGAUGAAGAACGCAGCGAAAUGUGAUAAGUAAUGUGAAUUGCAGAAUUCAGUGAAUCAUCGAAUCUUUGAACGCACCUUGCGCUCCCUGGUAUUCCGGGGAGCAUGUCUGUUUGAGUGUCAUGAACUCUUCAACCCACCAGUUCCUUGUAGACUGAUUGGUGUUUGGAUUUUGAGCGCUGCUGGUCUUCGGAUCUAGCUCGUUCGUAAUAUAUUAGCAUCUCUAAUUCGACUUCGGAUUGACUCAGUGUAAUAGACUAUUCGCUGAGGACACACCUAGUGUGGCCGAACGUUGAUCUCAGUAGAAGCUUCCAACUAUUGUAGUCAAUUUUAGAUUAGACCUCAGAUCAGGCAGGAUUACCCGCUGAACUUAA